UCGAGAAUCUUCCGCAAUGGACGCAAGUCUGACGGAGCGACGCCGCGUGUAGGACGAAGGCCCUAGGGUUGUAAACUACUGUCACGGGUUAUGAAUGGGCUGUCGUUAAUAGCGGCAGUUUUGACGUAAGCCCGAGAGGAAGCACCGGCUAACUCUGUGCCAGCAGCCGCGGUAAUACAGAGGGUGCAAACGUUGUUCGGAAUCACUGGGCAUAAAGCGCACGUAGGCGGCCGAGUAAGUGUGAAGUGAAAGCCCACGGCUCACCCGUGGAAUUGCUUUGCAUACUGCUCGGCUCGAGGAAGGUAGGGGAGAGCAGAACUCUUGGAGGAGCGGUGAAAUGCGUAGAUAUCAAGAGGAAUACCAGUGGCGAAGGCGGCUCUCUGGUCCUUUUCUGACGCUGAGGUGCGAAAGCUAGGGUAGCGAACGGGAUUAGAUACCCCCGUAGUCC
This 448-nucleotide ribosomal RNA is filed under the name uncultured prokaryote. Its description in RNAcentral is "bacterial SSU rRNA". It matches the Rfam family "Bacterial small subunit ribosomal RNA", at positions 355 to 796 of the family's 1533-position model. The record is from RNAcentral.